CCAUAUUUAGCGAAAGAUUUCUUUGUUUUCCAAAUCAUGGCUAGCUGUUUCUUGGAACAUAUAAAUAGAACAGGUACUACAUUGGACCAAAGAGAAAAUAAAGACGCGGAAAAUAGAAAGAGGAGAAAGAAAACAGAGACGAUCAAUACACAUUUGAUAUAUACAUUAAUUAUGGUUAUUCAAAAGUUGGAAAUGUGCGUAGGAAUGGUGAAAUUGGCGUUUGAGUUCGUUGUUGUGUUUGUUGAGGCAGUUGGUACUGUUAUCUCACAAAACAAUUCUUCUUCCUUGUCAACACAUGAUUCCUCGACCAACCGAAACUACGUUGUUACAACGCCCUACAUCGGCCUUCUUCCAUAAAUUGUUUAUUUCUUCACUUAGAUCGGAUAUUCAGUAUUCGAAACUUACUGGUCCGACCUAUUUCAAUUCCAUAAGGUUGUCUUUCUGAAUUCCCGAAGAAACCUAGUAGAAGGAAUGAAUACAGGCAAGGAACAACUGCAAUUUUACAUUUUUCUCAUCAUGAGGCUUUGUAAAAUGUAAAAUCAGCUUCAAAAGAGCUUUCUUGGUAGAGAGUAGUUUUUUUUCCUUUCUGUUUUGUAUUUUUUGGUUAAUUAUUUUUAUGUAAUGUGAUUUAAUUAUCGUGAGCUUAUUAAUAUUAGCAACUUUGAGGUCUGAUCAUUAAUCCUACCAGCUUCUUGUCAAGAUUGCAGCAUAUAUAGAUAGUUAAAUACAUUCAAUUUCAGCUCAGUUUGCUUUUUUGCCCUCUAGUUGGAAAGUUUGACGAUCGAUCGUCUACCUUUCAGCUUAGAAUACGAGGAGAAACCUCCAAAAUUAGUAUCGAACGAUCACGCAACUGCAGAAUUAGAUAUUAUGGUUUCGGAGGAUUUCACGUCUCGGCAGUACCUGCCAAAACACACAUGUUUGUUUUUACAACAUCUUAAUGUCUCUAAUUUAUAUAGUUGAAUAAAUAAUAUUUUUACAAAAUUAUUUAUAUUCGUUGUAAAAAUUAUUUGCUUGAUGAAGCACACGGUAAAGGUUAAUUAGGGGUGGUGAUAGCUGACAGUGGUGAUGGUCGGCUAUAUAUCUUGGUUGUGAGAUGGUUGGACGAAGUAGCUAACUGCUAAUUGUUGGUUGCUAAAGAUAAUGAUUAUGCAGUAAAAGCGACUUUCUUCGGAAUUCUAUUAAGGCCACACACCAUGGAUCUUUGGGCUUGGGCUUGAUUUUUCAGCGUUUGAUCACUUAGGCUUUUGAUAGGAAUGGCAAGCGGCAUGGGGCGAUGUAGGUGGAGGUGGGAUGGGUUUUGUAUUAACUUGCCCCGCCCACCCCGUAUAGCAUUUGCACCUGCGUUCACUCGCAUCUACACUUGAUCAGUCCACCUGCCCUGUGCCGCCCCCUCCAUAUAGCAUUUACACCUGCAUUCACUCGCAUCUACACUUGAGUCCACCUGUCCCGUGCCGCCCCGCCCCGUAUAGCAUUUGCACCUGUGUUCACUCGCAUCUACACUUGAGUCCACCUGCCCCGUGCCGCCUCGCGCGCUUAAGUGUUUUUCCCCAUCUGGUUUUAAUUCUUUUUAAUCUUUUGGCUGAUUUUUUUAAUUAUAUUUUUACGAUAUAUACUCAUACUUUUUAUUAAUUUUAAAGAUUACAGGAGACUUCAGCUAAGCAAAGAAGAAGAUAAGAUACGCGAAUUAAAUUUUGCAUUUUCACCAUAAGAUACUUGCCAUUGACAAAUGUUUUGGAGUAUUUCGUACACCAUUUUGUGCUUCCUUCACAUCUCACUAUGCAUCAACUCAUUCCUACACAAAAAUAGACUAUAAGUACAUAUUUCGUCACUUUUAACUCUAGGUUCUUUUUACAUAAAGAAAGCACAAGAAAUCAUAGAGUAAUCUCUGAAAAGUUUCAGUUUAAAUUAUCUCGAGAUUGGAGGUUAUCGUUGUUAGUGAUGGUGCAAAAAACAACACUUAGGAAGUUGAAAUAAAUAAUUCUUGUUCAGACUUUCAAAAAUGAAUAAGGCCUAAAUGAAACACGUUGAUUGUUGGGAAAAUAACACUAUAUAGUCGUUCUCAAAACCGAAAAAAUAUACUAUAUUUUUUGUGUAUAUAUACAUUAUUGUUCUAAUUACAAAAGGAUUGAUGAAUGACACUGAUUUAGUGACUGAAAAAAGAAGAAGAAGACAUGUAUUGGGAAAAAUUGAAUUUAUAUAUGUUGAGACACGUGGAUUGGUCAAAUAGUCAAAGAAUUAUAAUUAGUCAAGAGACACGAGCAACAAUAGAAACGAGCAAAGGCAAGGAAGAGGCACGGGAGGACAUUUGAAGGAUUCAGCGCCCGUGCCUAUUAAGAUCAUUUAUCAAAAGGAAUGAAUCUGACCAUAACAAAGAGCGCAGAUACGGAAUUCGACAUGCAUUAAAUACCGGAUACGCUAGAGAAUUUGUAUUGGUUACAAUGAUUGUGUAACGUAACAUUCAAUGUCUUUAAUUAUUCAUAAUAGCCUCAUUAUGAUUUGAAGGAAACACAUAUCUUCAAGAUGCCUAUAAAAGGGAGGUAUCUAGUCACUUGUAAGGACAUGACACAAUUGAAAUAUACUUUGAUUCACUUGUUUUUCUCCUGAUUACAUUCUGGUUACUCCAAAUUAUUCUCUUCUACAUAUUCUUUUGAUUAUCAGUAACCCACGUUCUUUUAAAUUCUAGCUUUGACUGAAAUUCUAUUUUUUGGUUAAAAAAAAUUGGUUCCGUUGCCGGGAAUCUGAUAAUCUAUUUUCUUUUCACUUGACCUUUCUUGUUACAUCAAUUAUGUCGAAUAACAAUGACAACACCCCAGGAAACCAAGAGAACUAACAAAGUCAGGGAGGCCCACAGAAUAUUAACAUUCAAGUUCCUACUCCGCAGGACUCUCCACGACAAUCUAGUGAGGGUACUCCUGAUGGAUCUCAAAUAAACGAGUAUGCUCAACUUGAAAAUGCUAAAGCUGUUGAUGAAGCUUUGCAGAAAUUAAUUACUACUCAGAUCAACAAUGUUGUUGAGGUGCUUGUUAACCAGUUACCUGUUGCAACACCCACACCUUCUCCAAAUAAUAACACUAUAGAAAACUCUCGUUCCGGGCUUGUUAACUCAGGCAACGGUGGAACCCCCAGUAAAUCGCAGGAGAGAGAACCAGGUAAUGUAAUUAAUUCUGAUUUACAAAAUUUAGUACUAACCUUGCAGAAACAGCUCAAGGAGCAAAGUGAACGCAUAGAGCAGAUACCCGGGAUGCCGCCCAUAAUCAAAGGGGUAAACAUGGACAGAUAUUUGCAACAACCCUGGAAGCCGAGUGCUGCCCCACUCCCAAUUCCAAAAAAGUUUAAAAUGCCUGAUAUUCCAAAGUAUGAUGGAACAACAGACCCACGGGACCACGUGACUGCAUUCACAACGGGCGUAAAGGCAAUGAUUUGACUAAGUAGGAGAUCGAAUCGGUAUUAGUCAAGAAAUUUGGUGAAACGCUCACCAAAGGAGAACUAACAUGGUAUUCCCUUUUAACUGAAAAUUCUAUAAAUUCUUUUGCUGAGCUUGCAGAUUCUUUCAUCAAAGCACUCUCGGGAACCUAAAAAGUGAAAAAAAGAAUGAAGGAUAUUUUCAAAAUUAAGCAAGGGGAUUCAAAAUUGCUUAGAGAAUUUGUGGACAGAUUUCAACGCGAAAGAAUGACAUCACGUGUACCUGAUAACUGGGCAGCUAUAGCUUUCACAAGCAAUUUGAAUGAAAAAAACGCGGAAGCUACGAGGAGACUCAAGGAAAGCCUUCGAGAAUUCCCAGCUACAACGUGGAUUAAACUAUAUAUAAUAUAACAUUUCUAUAAAUAUUUAAGCCGCAUAUUAAACUUUCACCUUAGGCCCCAUUUACACUUGAGCCGCCCCUGCUUUCAUGAUAGACUGGGUUGGCUGCUAUUUGAAUAGCAGCUUUGCUGUCGCAAAAGAUAGUAACUGGAUGAUCAACUUUUACAUCAAUCUCUUUCAUUAACCCCAGUAGCCAUGUUAAUUCAGCAACAAUAGAUGCUAGGCUUCUGUAUUCUGCUUCAGCAGAACUUCUGGAGAUUGUAGUUUACUUCUUGGACUUCUAUGAAAUCAGUGACUCUCUUAUUUUGAUUAGAUAUCCUGUGACUAAUUUUCUCGUAUGUGGACAAGCUGCCCAAUCAACAUCACAAUAAGCUGUAGCCGUUUCAUUAUUAUUGCUAGAUAGAAGAAUGGCUUGGCCUGAUUGACUUUUGAUAUAUCUCACAAUUCGUAAUGCAGCUUCCAUGUGAGAUUUCUGUGGUUGUUGUAGGUAUUGGCGGAGUGUCUGAACACUAUAGGAUAUAUCUGGCCUAGUAACAGUUAAGUACCGAAGUUUACCUAUGAGUCUUUGAUAGCUGCCUUGAUCUGCUAGUACUUCAUCUUCUGCUAGAUUAUCAUUGCAGAAAUAUUCAUCAAACUCUCUUGUUGUGAGUUUUAUAUUUGUGUCCAUAUGAGUGUUAAUAGGUUUAGAUGCUGCUAAUCCAAGUUCUGAUUUAGCAUUUCAAUAUCAGACACCAUGAGGUUUGUUGCACCAGUGUCAAUAAUACAUUUUUUUGGACAAUUUGAGACUAACAAAGCAGUAAUCAUACCUGCUAUAUUUGUUGCAUAACUAGUGUUGUUGCUUUCAGUGUUAGUUUUGUUGAGAAUUUGCAAUAUUUGUUCAUAUUGAUCUUUUGUAAAAGCUCCUAUCUGUGGAAUUGGCAUUGACUGUGAAUUAUCAGCAUGACCUAAGUUUUGAAAAGAGUUAGUCAUCUGGGAUUGUGCCUGCUGAUAAGUUCUAGUUUAGUUCACAUUAAGCUGUUGAUUUGGUAUUUCUGCAAGCACAUUAUAUACUGCUGGUUCUCCUGUUCCACCAUUAACUUUUUUUUUAAAAAAAACUUGAAAUCUGGUGGGUAAACAACAAUCUUGAAGCAAUUUUCCUUGCUAUGACCUUUGAGCUUACAGAAAUCACAUUGAACAUUGUAAUUCUUUUUAUAUCUUUGAUUUUCUAUAUUUCUUGUAUACAUUGCUACAUCAUAAUUUCCUAAUGGAUUUGCACCUAAGACUCCAGAUGUAGCAGCUACUGCCUUUUGACUCUCAUCACUUAUGAUCAUUGAAUAUGCUUGAUUAAUCGUUGGAAGAGGGCUUCUCAUGAGAAUUUGACUCCUGGCUUGUGAGUAGGAUUCAUUAAGACCCAUAAGAAACUGAAACACUUUUAGCUUUUGCAGAUACACCACAAAGUCCCUAGAUCUUGGACAAUCACAUCCAGGAACUGGUAUUAAGGCUUCAAAUUCUUUCCACGUAUCCUUCAAUUUUGAAUAAUACACAGAUACAGAGGAAGUGCCUUGGGUCAGUGUGGCUAUUUCUUUGUGCAAAUUAAACGUUCUUGCAUCAUCUACCUUAUAAAACCUUUCAUAUAGAUCAUCCCAAACCACCUGAGCAUUAGAGGCAUACAUUAUGCCACCAAGAAGACUACUAUUUACAGAAUUCAUGAUCCAUGACAGUACAAUAACAUUCACUCUCUCCCAAUGAUUUUCCAUAGUUGCAGGAAAGCUUUCUUUACUACAAGAACCAUCUACCAUCCCUAAUUUGUUCCUUCCUAGCAAAGCAACACGCACAGAUCGAUACCAAACUGAGUAAUUCUCGAUCCCUGUUAGCUGAAAGGAAAUAAUCUGUAUACCACUCACAUCUGAGGGAUGAAGAAACAAAGGGUGAUUAUAAUCAAUAUAUGCUGGUUGAUUUGAUACUGCAGUAAAAGUUUGAUUCAGAUGAGAACUAUUGUCUUGUUGAUCACCCAUUUUGCAAAUCUUGAAUUUUUCCGAUACAAUCAAGAAUUGUGAAGAUUGAAUUUGAAUUGCGGAAUUGGAUCAAAUCAAAGCUGGAUAAUCUUGCUUUGGUUGCUCUGAUACCAUGUUCUAAUUACAAGAGGAUUGAUGAAUGUCACUGAUUUAGUGACUGAAAGAAGAAGAAGACAAAGCAGAGAGUGGGAAGAAGAAGAAGAGCAGAACGUCAGAGAGAGAAUCAUCAGAUCUUUAUUAUUUUUCUUAAUACAAAUAAUGAUGUAUACAAUGUUAUUUAUAGUUGCUAACUAGCUUAGACUAAUUAAGACUAACUAACUAACUACCAUCUUAACCGAAUAACUAACUAGUUGAUGUAAUUACUAAACUAUCCUUAUUAGCUAAGUAAUACUUUCUUUAACAAUUAUGCAUGUUAUAGACAAAAAAAUAUACAAAUUUUAUAAACUUUUUUGACUACCAAAUAUAAAUAGUUUAUGGCGCGGACCAAAAGUGAUAAUACGCCUUGAUUGUUGCAAAAAAGAAAUGAAAUUACGGAGCACUUCAAACUUGUAGUUUUCCCGGUUCCCUUCAGAUUUCUAGCCAACUUCUUCUUAAAAAUUUAUACUAUUAAACUGUCUGCUGCUACCUUAGUACAAUCAAUUAGACACCAAAGAUUCUUAAAUCAUCCAAAAGAUUUCAAGUGAGUUCUUAUCCAAUUUUUGGUUAUGAUCAAGCCUUUAAAAUUUCAGAAAUGUCCCAAUCAAGUCCCUAAUAAACUCCUAUUUCAGCGUCACCAACACCACUCUUCUCACUUUACUAGUUACUACUAAAUGGCGACUGUCAUGAAACUCAAAAAAGAAAUAAAAGAAAACAAAAGAAUGGACCUGGUGGCAUGUCAGCAUAAUUGAUGUUUUUUAUUUUAUUUUGCAGAUGGUAUCAUUUUCCGACCAUAUAUUGAACAUUAAAAUUUGUCAUAUUGUGUUAUAACAAAGUAUUUUGCCUAACUAUAAGGGCAUCAAAACGGCAAACAAAGUACUGGCUUACUCUCAUAAUAAGAUAAAUUAAUAACCAUUAGUUCUCUCUAUCCCGCUCUAUCAACUGUGUGCGAGUAGAAUUAUUCGUGUUUUGGUUUGAAUUGAGUUUUACUCGACACUCCUCCGUUUCAUAUUAUAUGAGGUAGUUUGACUCGGCACGGAAUUUAAGAAAAAAGAAGAAGACUUUUGAAACUUGUGGUCUUAAAAGCUUAAGGGGUAAAAAGUUUGUGGGGCCAUAACAUUUGUGUGGCUAUAAAAGCUUCUCAUUAAAGGUAAAUAGGCAAAAUGAAAAAGUUUAAAGUUGAAUUAUUUCUAAAUUUAGAAAUAUGUCAUUUGUUUUGAAACAGACUAAAACGGAAAGUAACUCAUUUAAUAUGAAACGGAGGAAGUAUUUUUUUAAUUAAUAACUACUAUGUCCGGAAUGACUUGACUUUGCUCAAGAUUGUAGAGGAAUGAAACAUUAUAUUAAUCUCCCUUUUCCCUUUCAUCUUAGUUAACGAGCAGUAUUAAUGUAAGAAGAUUGUAAUGAUCAAAUUAAAUGUCUAAAUAAUUGCCUCAAAGCACUUGCAACCUCUGAAAAGACAUAGUAUUUCCAGAACGGAGUGCCUCUUCACCAAAAAAGUAACUUAAACAAUGCCAAGGUGUAGUUUAAAAGUUCAGAAUAGAUUAGGUAAAAAUUAGUCACUAAUGCUUGUCAACUAGCUAACUCAAUCAAUUACAACCUUCUAUUAAUCCAAUGAAUACUCGAUUGUCCUAAAUCACAUAACAAAGUUUCAUUAUUUAUCGUAGACCAAUGUUGAUGUUUCGUACGGCUAAUUUUUCUAAUCAAAAAGCCCUUUUGUUUCCUCCUAGUAAUGCUACGUUGGUUUAUUAUAUCGUUACUUUACUGCCAACAUAAUAUAUAGAAUUAUUGAUGGAUAAGGUUGUCAAAAAUAAUAAUAUUAAAGGGUCUCAUUCACCCACAAGUUGAAACCAUUCACAUUUCAUCUCUCGUCAAUCUAUCUUCCAAACUUGUCCUUGAUAUGUAUUAUUUGAGAGAGAGGGACAGAGAAACAAAAGUAAUGGUUGUUCCAUGUCACAAUUGCUAUUAUUAUUAUUAUUUUGAAAUAAUUUUACUUUUGACCUUUUAAUUAUUAGCAGUCUUGUGUUAGUCCUUCUAAAAUUCAUUGAAUACAUUCAAACCCUGAAUUAACUUAAGUGUUUUUAAUCCCUUAGCUUGAGAGUUCACAUAUGAAAUAUGUAAAAUUUAGAUUAAUUCCUAUAACUAUAUAUUACCUUCAAAUGUGCAGUAACAACACAAAAUUCAUCAUAUACGUGAAGAUUCACAAGCAGAAGAAUAAAAAUUGCACGUUUUAAUUUAUUGAAGGUUAAGUUAUAAAUGUCAAUCAGAUAUCGUAGCAGGAUCAAUUAAAAUUGUAUACGGUCGAAACCGGGUUUGUCUAUUGUGUGGCAAAUCAAGACUGAAACGUGACAGGUUAAAGCUCGAUCUCGGGUUAUGUCGAACCGAGGUACGAAGUUACAGCAUCGAGCUCGUGAUCCCGCGACAGAACAAGAUCGAGGAAAAUGUGCCGAGCCGAAUAACAGAGGGCCGAGAUAUCCGCGAUCAGUUGAAGAUCACGACGGGAAUCUUGACACGUAUCAAGGAGAGACGCCGAUUAAUUAACAAAUCAUGAGAUUUUUUACUUUGUAUAGAGUUGUAUCAAGAGUAGGACACCCCUACUAUAUAUAGGGAGGGGGGAUCUGAUCAUCUGUAACAUAUAUUGAAAUACACAAUAUAAAGCAAUAUACUGUAAUUUCUAGUUCAAUUGGUGUGGUUUGCAUUUAUUUUCUUAUCGCCAAUUUCAAUAUUAAUCUGUCUUCUCAAUUUGUACCAAGUUAUAUCACAUUUUCUUAAAACCGUGUAUAAAUUCAAUUGUUAUCCGAUUUUGAGGGUAAACAAAAAUUUAUCAGUAUUUCAGGGACCAAGAGCGCAAAUUUUAUUCCCUGUCGCUUGGGAGUUUCCAAAAGCCGCAUUUAGCUUAAGUUUCUUGGUUUGUCAAACCAUGCAGGCUGUUUAAUUUCUCGAAAACUAUAAAUAGAACAGGUUCUUAGAAUACUGGACAAAAGAGAAAGAAGAGGAAAUUAGAAGGAGAAUUAAGAAACAGAGACGAAACCACAUUUGUUAUACUAUAAAAUUAUGGUGAUUCAAAGGUUGGAAAUGUGCAUCGGAAUGAUGAAAUUGGCGUUUGAGUUCGUUGUGGUGUUUGUAGAGGCAGUUGGUACUGUUAUCUCGCAAAACAACUCUUCUUCCUUGUCAACACAUGAUUCCUCUGCCAACCGAAACUACGUUGCUACAACGCCUUACAUCGGCCUUCUUCCAUAAAUUGUUUAUUUUUUCACUUCGAAUAUUCAGUAUUCGAAACUUACUGGUCCGACUUAUUCCAAUUUCAUAAACGUUGUCUUUCUGAAUUCCCGAAAAAACCACAUAGAGAAGGAAAGAUUACAUGCAAGGAACAUGUGACAACUGCAGUUUACUUUCUUCUUUUUUUCUCUCACUGAGAGGAG
RNAcentral lists this long non-coding RNA (9352 nucleotides) under Nicotiana tabacum (common tobacco). RNAcentral's name for it is "long non-coding RNA (NTAB_LNC011278)". Lineage: Eukaryota; Viridiplantae; Streptophyta; Magnoliopsida; Solanales; Solanaceae. The record is from RNAcentral.